ACUACGGGAGGCAGCAGUGAGGAAUAUUGGUCAAUGGACGAGAGUCUGAACCAGCCAAGUAGCGUGAAGGAUGACUGCCCUAUGGGUUGUAAACUUCUUUUAUAUGGGAAUAAAACGUUCCACGUGUGGGAUUUUGUAUGUAUCAUAUGAAUAAAGAUCGGCUAACUCCGUGCCAGCAGCCGCGGUAAUACGGAGGAUCCGAGCGUUAUCCGGAUUUAUUGGGUUUAAAGGGAGCGUAGGUGGAUUGGUAAGUCAGUUGUGAAAGUUUGCGGCUCAACCGUAAAAUUGCAGUUGAAACUGGCAGUCUUGAGUACAGUAGAGGUGGGCGGAAUUCGUGGUGUAGCGGUGAAAUGCUUAGAUAUCACGAAGAACUCCGAUUGCGAAGGCAGUUCACUGGACUGCAACUGACACUGAGGCUCGAAAGUGUGGGUAGCAAACAGGAUUAGAUACCCGUGUAGUC
Molecule: ribosomal RNA, 460 nt
Filed under: uncultured bacterium
Lineage: Bacteria
Description: partial 16S ribosomal RNA
Rfam family: Bacterial small subunit ribosomal RNA
Source: RNAcentral